Non-coding RNA from Coturnix japonica (Japanese quail), 9369 nucleotides. The record is from RefSeq and is a predicted model, not a curated record. Lineage: Eukaryota; Metazoa; Chordata; Aves; Galliformes; Phasianidae.
ACAGCCUUCCAAAAAAGUGCAAUCAGAUUUUCAUUCAACAUGAAGAAAAACUGUGAUAUAUGGAACAUGUAAAAACAACAGUAGUCAUCUUUAUUUUAACAGUAGAAUUUAUUCAUGAUUCCUACAUGUCCUUUCAGUAGAAAUAGAAGAAGCACUUUCUAUUCCUUCUUCUGGUUACUAUUCACAUAGUUGGCAGAAUUUUACAGAAAAUGACUUGAGAAGUAACAGGAGUUAGGCAUAAAGAAGGCAUGUUUACACCUCCUAGCAUUUCUUACAGGAAGCAGGGUUCAGCAGGAGCUUGCUUCAGUUCUAAACCAGUAUGACAAAUGCUGGUUCAGCAUCUCUUUCAAAAUAUGUAGACAAAGCUUGAGGUUUCAAAGCUGAAAUAAAUUUCAGAUGAACGACUCUGUCCUGGAGUUAAUCAUUCUUACUUUUCUUUAUCUCAUCUCUUGCAUUCAAGCUUUACUGCAAAUUAAACCCACUACUUCUUGUCAUAUCUACAUCAGAAGUAACCAUUUUAGCUGAUCUCCUUGGUAACAAUAUCAUAAUUCUGAUUUUACAGGCUAAACAAACCUGGUUACGUCUUCUAUCUAUGCUUUUAAGAAUUUUAUGAACUAUCAAAUGUCACUUUUUGGCCUGGUGUCAUGAAAAGAAAUGGAAAUGAAGUCUUCUGGGAAUUUUAAUUCAGUCUUCUCUUUUGAGACCAGGAAACAAGAAAUAUUGACAAUCCAUGGAACUACAGUAUUGACUCCCAGUAAACUGCAUUAUGUUAUGAUGUGGAAUAAUAAUGAAAAACCAUCCAGCCCUGACAGAGAGCUACUGGAAAAAGAGUGAAAAUAGUUACCACGACAGGCACAAACCAGAACAUGGAACAUUCAAUUUGAACAGGAGAAAAAUACUUUCUUUACUGUGAGGGUGACAGAGCACUGGAACAGGCUGUCCAGAGAGACUAUGGAGUCUCCUCUGGACAUAUGCAAAACCCACCUGAACACUUUCCUGUGUAACCUACUCUAGAGAACCUAUUUCAGCCAAGGGUUGGACUUGACAGCUACCAGGGGUCAUUUCCAACCUCUAUGAUUCUGUGGUUCUGUAAUUCUAUGAGUAAAUAAUGAGAAUGUAUUUUUUUUUUCUCAGAACUUGUAUGCUAAAUUUAAACCAGUCUUGUUUAGACCACAUUUUCCUAACCUGCCUAAAAUAAAUUCUCUGAGAUUGUAAAAAUUGAAGUUUAGUAAAUUCAAAUUAUAUUAUCUCUUUCUAUACCUUCAGGCUCGCUGCAUUAUUUUUGAGGAAGAUAGAGGGAAUUUUAUUUGUUCCUUUAAAAUCUAUGUUUGUUGUGCAUUCUCAUAAUCUCUUAUAGGGACUUAGAAAGAACAGCCUGAUAGUUUAAGGUCCCUUAUGGAAAUUAUGUAAAGAGAAAUAUGUACAGUUCUUUGAAUAUUUUUCCACAGCAUGCUGUCAAUCCAUUUCUAAGCUUUUGAAAUUUCACCAUCCUUAAGCUAUCAUUGUUGUUACUAUACAUCUUGUAAAAAUUUGUGUUGUUUUUUUUCAACGCAUGCAUAUCUUCUGGCUUCAUAAUUCAUAGAGACAGUCAUCUCUGCACAAAAUCAAAGACUGAACAAUGACUAUUCUUUGUUUCUAGAUGAUGUUUCCAUGCAGUUAGAGGAUUGCACUGAUUUUUCUAAAAAAAAUACAUAUGUAUAUAGAUAUAUGUAAUUUUCUGAAUAAUUAGUUUUGAUAGCUAAAGUUACUGAGUAAAUUUUCUAUGUAUUGAUCACCCUAGAUUGCAUAAUCAGGAUCUAAAUUUUCUACUGUUUUCUAUGAAGUAUUUAUAUAAGAAAGACUAAUGGAAUGUGGAAUAGGAUUUACUAAAUAUGAUAUUGGAAUGCAAGAUAGCUUGCUAUAAUACAAUAUAAUUAGAAUUGAAGCUAAUAAAUCAAAUAUAAUGAGAGAGUAUAUGAAAGUUGUAGGCCUUACAGUAAUACUCAAGUGAUGUGCAUAGUAGGGACGGGCAGCACCCAGGAGAGACAAAAGAGGAGAGCGACAAAGAGAAGAGCCCAACCAGAUGACCUUGCCAGGAGAUCUAUCUCUUCUCUGACCACAAAGCCCCCCUGGGGAAUGUAGCUCUUCUUCUCUUCUGGACAGGUACAAUAAUUCUACAUUUAUUACUCAAUACCUUUAUGUAUGGGGAACAGCAGUACAUUAUGAUUUAGUCCACUUGGACUGACAGGCCAGUAUUUGUACCUUGACAGGAUGUCACUGCAGCAGGUAUGCUGACUAUUUAAUGUCUCUAGACAGUCUCUUAUGGCCUUCACUAACUCAUAAAAUUAAAUUUCAUUGUCCUCUUGCAAGAAUAGUGAAGACAAAAUUGAAUCUUAUUAUUACAAGAGAGAAAAUGCCUAAUGGUAGCUUCUUUAGUAAAACAUUUUUCUUCAGAGAUGUAAUUUAUAAAGUUUCAUCUUGCAUGAACUAUAUUCAGUGCUUCAAAGCACACAAAUCUUUCACUAUUUCAGCAGUCCUCUUUUCAUGUACUGUGCAAGCCUUCAAAAGUGGCAUAUCAUCAAACCAUCAAGAAUCUACCUGAUGCAUGUCAAAGCUUUGCUAUUCGUAAGUAGUGAACCUAGACACCUGAGCAGUAAGAAACAUAGCAAAAUUUUGCAUUACUAUAAUGUACCCAUGUAUGACUAUCUCAGCAAAGUAGUAAUAGCUCUUGGCAAACAGCAUUCAUCUGGGCUGAAAAGCUGUCAAUGGCAAUAUGGUGGAUGUCAAUUAGAAUAAAGUAUGAGAUGCAAACACAUUUGCCAGUUACAUGCAUUAGACCUCAUAAUGACUGAUGUCACAAAUGUAGUUUGGUGAUAAAUUAUCUUAAGGACAGUAAUUACAUUUUUCUAUCUCUUGAAUAUACCCAUUUUGAAGUUACAAAUUGAGACAAAAAUCUCCCUUUAGACAAUUGAAACAACAGGAAUGUCAGGAGGCAGGUUUACUUGGUUAGUGGUGUUUUGUGUUUUUUUCCCAGCUUGGACUUCUAAGAAAUGUAAGAAAAAAUUCAAUUGUUUUUAUAAUAUAAUAUUUCAGGUGCUGGACCACAUCCAAAGAAGGUCAAUGAAGCUGUGAAGGGUUUGAAGCACAAAUUUUAUGAAGAGCAGCUGAGGGAACAGGAACUGUUCAGCCUGGAGGAGGCUCAGGGGAGAUGUUAUUGCUCUUUACAACUAUCUGAAAGCAGUUUACAGCUAGGAGGGUGUUGGUCUUCCGUCUUUGUGUUUGCUUUAUCAAGUUGCCACGUGCACUUGGAUUCCUUACAAAUAUAAUUUUUCCAAAUAUCCAAUCUAAACUUUCCCUGGUGAAAGGGAAAUUGCCUCUCAUCCUAUCGCUAUUUUUAGAUCAAGAUUUAAUAUAUUUUCCUGAAUGUUCAAAAUCAUUCUCAAUGCUAGCUGACACUUCACUAAGCUUUAUUAAAACAACGUGAGACUUUAUGGACCAGUACACUGAAACAAAGUACUGUGCUUCAAUACUACUCCAAAUAUUGGAAGGUGAAAUUGAGGUACCUUUUGUACAAACGUGAAACACUAUGUAAGUUUCUGGAGGGAAAGACAGAAGUAUUUGAGUUAGCAGCCUACCACUAUUUGAAUAAUACAGAAAUUGAUGAGACAUAUAACAAUCUAAAUAUAAAAUACUAUGUCACAAAUCUUUUUAAAAUGCAACGUUGAUUCACGCAAUCACAGUUUGUCAUUCACAACAUGAACUUCACGUGAAAUUUUUCCACAGACGUGUUUAUUCUGUUCAAAGAAACAGUCAAUAAUAUCUAACAGAUUUUCUUCUAAUUGUUGGUAUAUUUCUCCACUUGUAACUUUUUUUCCCCUAAUUUAUUGAUAUUAAAAAAAAUAUAUUAAAUUACAGAAGACAGUGUUUUGGUGAAGUAACACAGCUUUUAGCCUCCUCAAACUCCCCUGAUUUAACAGAAUCUAGAAAAUAAAGCAACGAUAACAUAUCUUAUGUUCUGUUCCCCAGCAAUAAAAAAUAUUACUCCACGUGGACAUAACAGUUUUAACUAUCUUAAAAAUUAUCAACAUAGAUAAUUUUGGGUAACUAGAUCAGUGUUUUGGUGGUUUUCAGUGGCUGUUCACACUAGAUAUCUGUCUUAAUGUUAAUGUUCAGUGUACACAUGAAAGAUUUGGUCUAUUUCAAUCCCAUUUUGCCAAACAAAAAUUUGUCACUGAGAAAAGUAAGAAGGAUAAUACUUAUCAAUACGUAUCAAUGAGAAUGGGAAGGAAAUAGCUAUUAUUUUUCUCCAAAAUCUGAAUAGAUUAUCUGUACUCAGAGCUAUGCUGAGAGUAAAAGAUUGUAAAAUGAAAAUCUAACCAAUCCUGAUUAGUAAACAUUAUGGUGAGAAAAGCAAAAGGUAAGUCAAGUUGAUUAAUCUGAAUGGCUCUGCAUAUGCAUUGGAGCUGGUGCUUUGAAUAUCCAUAUUAUUUCCUGAAACAUGAGAAAAUAGCCUAUUGCAUGUUCUCUUCGAGCUAAUUUAGCUUUGAGGCUAAUUUGCUUUAAAGGGCAAAAGUGAUGCAUUUGUGCAGCACCCUAGCUUAUCACAAGUUUUUGUAUCAUAUAGGGAAUCAUCAUGCAAACUCAUGGUCAUUUGGCUCUUCUCUCAUGCCUUUAAUAAGUUCUGUAGAAUCCAGGCUUCUAUGUAGGUGAAGAAAUCCAUUUUAGCCACUCUUAAAACUCCUUUAUCAUUCUUUUUCAAAAUGCCAUUAAGAUAUAGUCUGCUGGUGGCUAUAAAAAUGAGAAAUCUAUUAUGUCUUGAAGCUAUACUAAAAUUCAUUAGUGUUAUCCAAUAAAGUAUGGAGUUAAUCAUUAGUUUCAGGUGUGAUAGAUUAGUGCAAUGCUCUGUCAUCACAAGAAUCUUUGUUCUUUUUAUAAUCUAUUCCUAUCAAGUUUUCACACUAGCUACAAAGUUAGUUCUCUCAGUCCCAGGAGGUAGAAUUUUCUUGAAGAACAUGGAAUUUUGGCCAUUCAAGCAUGUUUGCCUGAUCAGGAUUUUGCAGGGAACUUGUGCACACUGGGCUAUGUAUAGCUGCAAAGAAAAUCUGAAUCAGCACAAGCACUAAAAAUAAAAACAUACUUUGGUAAUUAGUGCUUUGACUAUGAAAAAAUCCCUAUCUUCACUCACAGUAUUACAUUCUUGCCUAAAAAAGUACCGUUAAUUGACUUAUAAGAUUACACUUCUUGAGCUAGUAUCUUGAUUUUACAUUAAUAUGAGUAGGAAUGCUUGUACAUUAAUACUGGAAAGAAAAUGCAAAUCACAACAAAUGUAAAUUUGUCUGCAGUUAACAGGCUUUCAAAAGUACUUAAAAAAGUAAAAUCAAAAUACUUUCUAAUUUUUUUCACUGGGUAAAUGUUUAGUUAAUUUUACACUAGAGGAUCAAUUGACUCGUAUACAGGACAUCUAUACGAACACCAUGAGAAUGCUUCAAAAGAAACCACAUUCAAAUUACUAACAUUUUGAAGAACAACUAAAUUGAAAUACUCUGGAGAGAAAAAAGAUUCAGUCUUAAUAGGGAAAAAAAAGAAACAACAAAAAAACUUCAUUCCCUGAUGAAAAAUAAAUUGUCCAAAAGAGCUAAAUAAACAAUCUGUACUUAUUAACAUUGAUCUCAAGUGUCCUAGUACAAACACAGAACCACAGAAUGGCUUGAACUGGAAGAGAGCUAGUCCCAACUGCCCUGUCACAAGCAGGGACAGCUUCUCCUAGAUCGGGUUGCUUGAAGUCCCAGCCAGCCUGACUGGAACACUUCCAGGGAUGGGGUAUCCACAAAUUCUCUGAGCAGUCUGUUCCAGUGCUUCACCACUUUCAAGAAACCCUCCUAAAUCCAAAUUUUCCUGCUACUCUAAAUCUCUGCUCAUUUAGUUUAAAACCAUUUCUCUCAUUCUGUCACUACACUCUGAUACAGAUUUACUCUCCAUUUUUCCUGUAGGCCCCUUUGAAAUACUGAAAGGCUGCAGUAAAGUCUUCACAGAGCCUUCUCUAAACUAAAUGACUCCAAUUCUCUCAGCCUUUCCUCACACCCACAAAACAGUUCAUCCAACAGUUCAUGUUUCAAACAUCUCAUAUAUCUGUUCAAAGAAUUCAAACAGUUGUGGUUAUUCCCAAUUGAUGAUGUACCUAAAUGAAUCUUAAGUAUAUACUAUACGUGUAAGAAAACACAGAACAUUUAAUUCCACAUUCUUUGACCAACAGUGAACUCUAGACUGGCUCAUUAAAAAAUAAAAAUAAUUUUUUUUUUAAAAAAGGGAUGCAAUUUAUGAUUUCAGCUUUUAAUUUAUAAUGAAUAGAUUUUAUCAUAGGAUACAAAAGACAGGCAUGUACUCAAUAGGAUACUUUACUUAAGAAAUGACUUUACGUUCUGCGAUGCUUUUUUAUCCUGCAAUAUUGAUUACCUUUUGAAUUACUUAAAAUGUUUGCAGUAGUACAUAUAAAUUCACAGUACAUGUAGAUCACAGAAGCCAUCAUAACAGUUCUGGAAUUUUCCCCAGAUUGAUUAUGCCCAGAGAUAAAUAUAUUUUGUGAUGAAAUCAUAGAUUGCUUAUGCAUUUCAAGAACACCUAAAAUAGCUGAAAAUUUAGCUAACUAUCCUGUAUGCAAGUAUUAUUCAGAAAGCAAUCACCAUAUUAGACAACAAAUAACACAAAUGUUAUAUGGGAAAUAUCAUAAUAGUACACUUACAGAUCACAGACAAAAUUAAAUCAUAAAAUGUUUAAGGUAACUACGAAGUUCUCAUAACUGGUUUUAAUAUUAAAACUGUGGUAAAGGCAACCUGAGACUUUCAGCAAAAAAUUACCCAAGAGGUAUUCAAAUAAUGGGUUGCUGAUCUAACUUUCACUUACCACGAAACAAUAGCAGUCACCACUACAGCCAGGUUAUUGAGCAACACAAGACCUCUUUCCCUUACUCUUUGAUAGUAUAAAAUAAAUGACAUGAAAGAGACAUGAAUAUUCUGUAUGCAGAGCUUUUAAAAAACUGUCGAUGUCUAACUGUCCUAUUAACCCACAUUUUUGCCAAGGUGUGCCACUUAUUAAAUGGACUCUUCUGCUUGUGGACCUGAAAUAAGUUUGCCUAUGCUCAUGAGUUUUCUUGAAUGAGAAUACUAGAGCUUCCUUUUAAAACACUUACAUUUUCCAAAUGAAAGUCAAAGUACAGUGACAAGUUCAGACUGAAAUUAUAUACUUGCCUUCCAACCAAAUAAAGCAUACUACAAGUAUUUUCUCACUGCACUGCAGUUCCAAAAUGAGUCACUCAGGAUAAUAAAUUCUUACUUAACAUUUGAAGACGUUUGAUUAAAAAGGUGAGAAAUGUUUCUAGUAUCUCUCUUUUAAAAAAAAAAUAUAUAUAUAUAUAUAAUGUCAUAAUUAAACUCACUUUAGUCAUCAACUAUACACAUGAAUGGUAAGAAUAUAUAGACUAAAAAACCUAAACAUACACUAAUGACUACGCUUUAAGUAAUGUACAACUAUGAAUCCAAACAAGCCAGUAAUUUUCCUUAUAUUUAGAGGAAAUCAUGUUUUCAGAGAGAACAUGCACAUUCAUACACUUAUUGUAUUGGAGAAUUUCAUCUAUACUGUAUAAAACAUGAAUACAUAUUAGCAGAUUGACAAAGUACAUUUAAAGGCAAAUAUACAUUUACCACAGAUGUUUCAUCUCCAUAUAUAAAGUAGGAAAUUCUUAGUUAUGAGCAUGAAUGGCUACAGAAAAAUAACUGCCUGAUAUUCUUCCUUCAGUUCUAACAUGAUGAAUGAAACCUGUAUGAAUUUUAUUUCUACAUUAAAAACAAAAGAUCCACACAUGGCCGAAAUCAAGUGUAACAAAUCUUAACAUUCUAUGAUAUUCAUAAUCUUCAAAGUUACAUAAAAUGUGUAUCUUAUCAAAACAUGACAUUCGAGCCCACAUUUUGGUGUGAUUAUUUUUGUUCCAGUAUAGUUCUCCCUGACUAUAUUAUGAAAAGUAGAAAUGUGUACUUAGUAUUCAAAUCUAGGCAUUAGCUGAAUUUUUAUGCACUGCCACUUAACCUAAACAUUAACAGAAUAUUUACACAUUUUUCCUACUCACUUGCUGAACAUAGGACAAAUUUUGAAAGACACCUACACAUAUCAUAAAUUAGUUAAUGGAAAACAGCUACAGUAGAUCAAUGUAACCACAAUAAAAGUAGUUACGUCUCUAAUUCUCUGAUUGAUGUUUGAAACAUGAAAAUUGGCUGUUCUCAAAGAGUACUUCAAAUAUUCUGAAUUUGCUUGCUGGGCUUCCAUCUCUGAACUUGCAGUAUCUCUCUUUGCCUUUAGUUCCUCCUUCAACCCUACAACAUCUAGUGUACUUCUGGUCGAACCAACAUCAAACUACGAAUGGCAUCAUAAAUAUCUUAGGAAGAGACGUGAUUUAAAUUAUCAGAGAGAAAGAGUUACUUCAACAUUUGAUACUUCUAGUGGCAAAUCUAAUUGAAAGAGGCAAAUUUAAUUUUUUUUUUUUUUUUAAGAGUUGGCAGGAGAUCCUGCAAAAUGAAAAAGGAGAUCAUAAAUGAGAUGCUCUUUAUAUCGAAGUGCUUUCGCUUUGACAUCAUAAUCAAGUAGUUUCUACAGUGUCUGCCACAGUUGGCAGGUUAAGUAGGAAAGAACAUUUUACACACCAGAUGUCCAAUUUUUUUGAUGGAAAUGUAAUGUAUGGUUUUGAAGAAAAAAAAAAAAAGCAUACUACCACACUUCUCAGGGAUUUUUAUAUUCUUGUGUUUUUGUAUUUUUUCAGUGUGUGUAUAACUGAUUUUGUUAAUCUGAGACUUAGUAAUUUCUAUGCUGGAUUUAUUUUUCUUUCUUUUCAUUAGUUUUUUGUAUAACCCAUAUCAUCCUUGCCUUAAGAAUUAUAACUGCUUUUAGUAUCUCUUGAGAAAAAAAGCCCUUAUAUUAACAUUAUAUGAUCAGAAAGAAUUGUUCAUCAAAUAUAAAAUGUGUUAAAAUAUAAGAUCAAGUCAGUUUUACAAAUUCAAUACAGAACAUUUUGCUUCGUGAACAAGUUCUCGGACCUAGCUCCAGCCUCUCCACAGUAUUAUUGAGGCAGCAUACCUAUAAAAAUACAGUUUAUCUGCACUUAAUAAAUUAUUUCAGCGAAUUCAGUAAUGGUUUUCCUCUAUUAAAUGAUGAAUAAUGCAAGAAGGCAAUUGGCUAGACUCAAGGAUAUAGGAAAAACACUCUGCUGUGAAUUUGUGAUUUUUAUUAGGUAUCAUAUAUGGAACAACUUAGUUUCAGUUUUUAGGAUCUAAUCACUGACAUGAUGCAAAGAAAUCAAUAUGAAUGUAGCAUGAAAUAGCAACAGAUGAUACAGUGCUACUCAGU